This 517-nucleotide ribosomal RNA is filed under the name uncultured fungus. Its description in RNAcentral is "eukaryotic LSU rRNA". It matches the Rfam family "Eukaryotic large subunit ribosomal RNA", at positions 120 to 649 of the family's 3401-position model. The record is from RNAcentral. Lineage: Eukaryota; Fungi.
AUCGGUGUCUAGCUAACGCAUCGAGUUGUAAUUUGGAAGUGCAACUUCCCAGUGAAUCACAUAGUAAGUUCCUUGGAACAGGNCGUCAUAGAGGGUGAGAACCCCGUGUCNCGAUGUCGCGUCAAACCAUGUGAAGUGUCUCCGUCGAGUCGAGUUGUAAGGGAAUGCAGCUCAAAAUGGGUGGUAAAUUUCAUCUAAAGCUAAAUAUUGGCGAGAGACCGAUAGCGCACAAGUAGAGUGAUCGAAAGAUCAAAAGCACUAUGAAAAGAGAGUCAAAAAGUACGUGAAAUUGUUGAAAGGCAAGCGCUUGCGACCAGUCUCGAUCUUGGGCGAUCCUCCGGGCUUCGGUNCGGUGCACUCGCCAUUGAUUGGGCCAGCAUCGGUUCCGACGGCAGGAUAAAAGUAGGAGGAAUUUGGCUCCCCCUCGGGGAGUGUUAUAACCACCUUCACAAUGCUGCCAGUUCGGACCGAGGACCGCGCUUCGGUUAGGAUGCUGGUGUAAUGGUCUUAAGCGACC